This 466-nucleotide ribosomal RNA is filed under the name uncultured bacterium. Its description in RNAcentral is "bacterial SSU rRNA". It matches the Rfam family "Bacterial small subunit ribosomal RNA", at positions 32 to 526 of the family's 1533-position model. The record is from RNAcentral.
AAUCAACGCUGGCGGCGUGCCUAACACAUGCAAGUCGAACGAGAAAGUGGAGCAAUCCAUGAGUACAGUGGCGUACGGGUGAGUAACACGUGACUAACCUACCCUCGAGUGGGGAAUAACCUCGGGAAACCGGGGCUAAUACCGCAUAACAUCUACGGAUCAAAUGCGUAAGCAGCUUGAGGAGGGGGUCGCGGCUGAUUAGCUAGUUGGCGGGGUAAUGGCCCACCAAGGCAGUGAUCAGUAGCCGGCCUGAGAGGGCGCACGGCCACACUGGAACUGAAACACGGUCCAGACUCCUACGGGAGGCAGCAGUGGGGAAUUUUGCGCAAUGGGGGAAACCCUGACGCAGCAACGCCGCGUGGAGGAUGAAGCCCCUUGGGGUGUAAACUCCUUUCGAUCGGGACGAUUAUGACGGUACCGGAUGAAGAAGCACCGGCUAACUCUGUGCCAGCCGCCGCCGUAAAAC